This is a long non-coding RNA of Labrus mixtus (cuckoo wrasse), 331 nucleotides long. RefSeq lists it as uncharacterized. The record is from RefSeq and is a predicted model, not a curated record. NCBI's taxonomy places the organism in Eukaryota, Metazoa, Chordata, Actinopteri, Labriformes, Labridae. The transcript has 3 exons.
GCAUCCUUCACACACCGCCUCGCAGACUCCACACACACUUGCACAUGCACCCACCCCAGCGAUACAGGCGCACGCCGCGCUGCCGCUGAGACUAACCAAAAGCAAAAACAACAAAGGAGAGGACUGCCAAAGCCGACUGACUUCCACCUGCACACCUCACUCAGACGAUAAAGAGAUGAUGGCAGGGAGAACAUGCAAAGUCCACACAGAGAGGACCUUGUUAGACGGGGAUUGGAUCCAGGAACCUCCUCGCUGUGAGGCAACAGCGCAAACCGCUGCGGCACCAUGCAGCCCCUGUCCUAUCAUUAAAAAAAAAAAAAAAAAAACUACU